UUACACNUGCAAGUCGAACGGCAGCGGGGAAAGCUUGCUUUCCUGCCGGCGAGUGGCGAACGGGUGAGUAAUACAUCGGAACGUGCCCUGUAGUGGGGAUAACUAGUCGAAAGAUUAGCUAAUACCGCAUACGACUGAGGGUGAAAGUGGGGGACCGCAAGGCCUCAUGCUAUAGGAGCGGCCGAUGUCUGAUUAGCUAGUUGGUGGGGUAAAGGCCCACCAAGGCGACGAUCAGUAGCUGGUCUGAGAGGACGAUCAGCCACACUGGGACUGAGACACGGCCCAGACUCCUACGGGAGGCAGCAGUGGGGAAUUUUGGACAAUGGGCGAAAGCCUGAUCCAGCAAUGCCGCGUGUGUGAAGAAGGCCUUCGGGUUGUAAAGCACUUUUGUCCGGAAAGAAAUGGCUCUGGUUAAUACCUGGGGUCGAUGACGGUACCGGAAGAAUAAGGACCGGCUAACUACGUGCCAGCAGCCGCGGUAAUACGUAGGGUCCAAGCGUUAAUCGGAAUUACUGGGCGUAAAGCGUGCGCAGGCGGUUGUGCAAGACCGAUGUGAAAUCCCCGAGCUUAACUUGGGAAUUGCAUUGGUGACUGCACGGCUAGAGUGUGUCAGAGGGGGGUAGAAUUCCACGUGUAGCAGUGAAAUGCGUAGAGAUGUGGAGGAAUACCGAUGGCGAAGGCAGCCCCCUGGGAUAACACUGACGCUCAUGCACGAAAGCGUGGGGAGCAAACAGGAUUAGAUACCCUGGUAGUCCACGCCCUAAACGAUGUCAACUAGUUGUUGGGGAUUCAUUUCCUUAGUAACGUAGCUAACGCGUGAAGUUGACCGCCUGGGGAGUACGGUCGCAAGAUUAAAACUCAAAGGAAUUGACGGGGACCCGCACAAGCGGUGGAUGAUGUGGAUUAAUUCGAUGCAACGCGAAAAACCUUACCUACCCUUGACAUGCCACUAACGAAGCAGAGAUGCAUUAGGUGCUCGAAAGAGAAAGUGGACACAGGU
This 1000-nucleotide ribosomal RNA is filed under the name Ralstonia mannitolilytica. Its description in RNAcentral is "bacterial SSU rRNA". It matches the Rfam family "Bacterial small subunit ribosomal RNA", at positions 49 to 1039 of the family's 1533-position model. Lineage: Bacteria; Pseudomonadati; Pseudomonadota; Betaproteobacteria; Burkholderiales; Burkholderiaceae. The record is from RNAcentral.